GAAGAAGCUCCUGGAUCCUGGCUUCAGAUUGGCUCAGUUCCAGACUUCUUCCUGGAAGGCUGGAUUCUAGAUCCGAACUCCUUCACGUCUGUGGAGUGAGAUGAUACCUCUCCUAAGAGGGCUGGGACCACCAGGCUUGCGGGCAGGAGGAGGCAGAUAUCUCAUCCAUUGUUCUAUACACCAAAUGCUUUUGAGAUCUGAAGGCCAUAAACCAGGAGCCAGGAACUCAGUCUGGGUCUGCCUUGUGGAUGGCAGGAAACCAAGUGCUUGA
This is a long non-coding RNA of Ochotona curzoniae (black-lipped pika), 271 nucleotides long. RefSeq lists it as uncharacterized. The record is from RefSeq and is a predicted model, not a curated record. Lineage: Eukaryota; Metazoa; Chordata; Mammalia; Lagomorpha; Ochotonidae. The transcript is spliced from 3 exons.